AGUAACACUCUGGGAGGGCUCAGGCCACAUCACCAAAUGUGACAGGAUAGCCUUGAACUCAUCAAUUGCUGGGGGCACCUCAAACUCAACUCCAAAAUUGAUCUAAUGAACUUUCCCAAACCACAUUCCCUUCUUGCAUUUCUGAGAGAAUGGAUUCCCAUUCAUCUGACUACAGUGCUAUCCUGAAAGCAGAUCCAGAGACUUAGAUUUCACCUGCAGAUGAUUCAUUUGCAAGGUAAGCUGUCAUCAGUUGGAGGUAAGCGGAAGACAGUAGAGAGUACAGAGCCCUGGACUGUGACUCAGAGGAUGAGCACCAGAUCCAGUUUGCUGUGCCACAGUGCCUUCUCCAAAGUCACUCACAGAAGGCAUCCCACUCAACCUCACCUUGGGGCAAAUCAAAAUAGUCCUCCUUCUGAAGCUACCGGGUAAAGCGGUGGUAGUUGUGCAGCUGCUGCUGAUCAACAGGCUCCAGAAACAGCAGCAGGAGGUCUUUGCUGCACUAUAUUCCAGUCCUGAAGAUUUUCCUCACAGAAUCUUUCAUCUCUUUGUUCCUGAGACUAUAUAUUAGAGG
Molecule: small RNA, 571 nt
Filed under: Pan troglodytes (chimpanzee)
Lineage: Eukaryota; Metazoa; Chordata; Mammalia; Primates; Hominidae
Description: sense overlapping
Source: RNAcentral